RNAcentral lists this ribosomal RNA (382 nucleotides) under uncultured eukaryote. RNAcentral describes it as "partial 18S ribosomal RNA". It matches the Rfam family "Eukaryotic small subunit ribosomal RNA", at positions 592 to 976 of the family's 1831-position model. The record is from RNAcentral.
CAAUAGCGUAUAUUAAAGUUGUUGCAGUUAAAAAGCUCGUAGUUGGAUUUCUGGAUGGAGCGACCGGUCGGGCAUUAAUUUGUCUGCACUGGAGUCGGUUCCGUCCAUCCUCUUGGAAAGUGCGUCGGGCAUUAAGUUGUUUGGCGUAUGAUCCAAGUCGUUUACUGUGAAAAAAUUAGAGUGUUUAAAGCAGGCCUUCGCCUUGAAUACAUUAGCAUGGAAUAAUAAGAUAGGACGUUGGUCUAUUUUGUUGGUUUGCAGACCGAAGUAAUGAUUAAUAGGGAUAGUUGGGGGUAUUUAUAUUCCGAUGUCAGAGGUGAAAUUCUUAGAUUUUCGGAAGAUAAACUUAUGCGAAAGCAUUUACCAAGGAUGUUUUCAUUAA